GGAAAGUAGGACGCAGUGGUGUGUAACUAGUCUAGAAAACUAGCCUCUCGGGACCUCUCGGGGAUGGUUCGACUCCAUUACUUUCCUCCA
Molecule: transfer RNA, 90 nt
Filed under: Herbiconiux daphne
Lineage: Bacteria; Bacillati; Actinomycetota; Actinomycetes; Micrococcales; Microbacteriaceae
Description: tRNA-OTHER
Source: RNAcentral